UACGUAGGGGGCUAGCGUUGUCCGGAAUUACUGGGCGUAAAGAGCUCGUAGGUGGUUUGUCGCGUUGUCCGUGAAAACUCACAACUCAAUUGUGGGCGUGCGGGCGAUACGGGCAGACUGGAGUACUGCAGGGGAGACUGGAAUUCCUGGUGUAGCGGUGGAAUGCGCAGAUAUCAGGAGGAACACCGGUGGCGAAGGCGGGUCUCUGGGCCGAUACUGACGCUGAGGAGCGAAAGCGUGGGGAGCGAACAGG
This 253-nucleotide ribosomal RNA is filed under the name uncultured bacterium. Its description in RNAcentral is "partial 16S ribosomal RNA". It matches the Rfam family "Bacterial small subunit ribosomal RNA", at positions 524 to 776 of the family's 1533-position model. The record is from RNAcentral.